This 216-nucleotide long non-coding RNA is filed under the name Eucalyptus grandis. Its description in RNAcentral is "long non-coding RNA (EGRA_LNC004080)". The record is from RNAcentral. Lineage: Eukaryota; Viridiplantae; Streptophyta; Magnoliopsida; Myrtales; Myrtaceae.
ACCAAAUGAAAUUUCAGCAUAGAUACAUCUCAUGUUCCAAAAAAUGAGAACCUUGGGUUUCUAGAGUUAAUUGAUCCGAAGCAUACAAACUAAAUACAAUGCUAGAGCAGUUAUUGCCCACACUCGCUAAACUAGACCCGACUAAUCAACUUACAAAAUUAUGGGGACCCACACUAGCUCAUAAUGGGAAAUACAACUUCCCCUACAUUUUCCAUA